GACGAACGCUGGCGGCGUGCCUAAUACAUGCAAGUCGAACGCAGUGGGGACGGGUGAGUAACACGUGGGUAACCUCCCAUCAGAGGGGAUAACACUUCGAAAAAGGUGCUCAACCGAUACUGCUGGAUGGAACCGCGUGGCAUUAGCUAGUUGGUGAGGUAACGGCUCACCAAGGCCACGAUGCAUAGCCAACCUGAGAGGGUUAUCGGCCACACUGGGACUUAGACCCGGCCCAGACUCCUACGGGAGGCAGCAGUAGGGAAUCUUCGGCAAUGGACGAAAGUCUGACCGAGCAACGCCGCGUGAGUGAAGAAGGUUUUCGGAUCGUAAAACGCUGUUGUUAGAGAAGCGGGAUCUAAACAGAAAGCCACGGCUAACUACGUGCCAGCAGCCGCGGUAAUUG
Molecule: ribosomal RNA, 403 nt
Filed under: uncultured bacterium
Lineage: Bacteria
Description: partial 16S ribosomal RNA
Rfam family: Bacterial small subunit ribosomal RNA
Source: RNAcentral